RNAcentral lists this ribosomal RNA (1003 nucleotides) under uncultured bacterium. RNAcentral's name for it is "bacterial SSU rRNA". It matches the Rfam family "Bacterial small subunit ribosomal RNA", at positions 356 to 1376 of the family's 1533-position model. The record is from RNAcentral.
GGGGAAUAUUGCACAAUGGAGGAAACUCUGAUGCAGCGACGCCGCGUGAGUGAAGAAGUAUUUCGGUAUGUAAAGCUCUAUCAGCAGGGAAGAAAAUGACGGUACCUGACUAAGAAGCACCGGCUAAAUACGUGCCAGCAGCCGCGGUAAUACGUAUGGUGCAAGCGUUAUCCGGAUUUACUGGGUGUAAAGGGAGCGUAGGUGGCAAGGCAAGCCAGAAGUGAAAACCCGGGGCUCAACCGCGGGAUUGCUUUUGGAACUGUCAUGCUAGAGUGCAGGAGGGGUGAGCGGAAUUCCUAGUGUAGCGGUGAAAUGCGUAGAUAUUAGGAGGAACACCGGAGGCGAAGGCGGCUCACUGGACUGUAACUGACACUGAGGCUCGAAAGCGUGGGGAGCAAACAGGAUUAGAUACCCUAGUAGUCCACGCGGUAAACGAUGAAUACUAGAUGUCGGGUAGCAAAGCUAUUCGGUGUCGUCGCAAACGCAAUAAGUAUUCCACCUGGGGAGUACGUUCGCAAGAAUGAAACUCAAAGGAAUUGACGGGGACCCGCACAAGCGGUGGAGCAUGUGGUUUAAUUCGAAGCAACGCGAAGAACCUUACCUGCUCUUGACAUCCCAUUCGAUAGAGGGUAAUGCCUCUAGCCCUUCGGGGGAAUGGAGACAGGUGGUGCAUGGUUGUCGUCAGCUCGUGUCGUGAGAUGUUGGGUUAAGUCCCGCAACGAGCGCAACCCUUAUUGUCAGUAGCCAGCAGGUGAAGCUGGGCACUCUGAUGAGACUGCCGGGGAUAACCCGGAGGAAGGUGGGGAUGACGUCAAAUCAUCAUGCCCCUUAUGAGCAGGGCUACACACGUGCUACAAUGGCGUAAACAGAGGGAAGCGAAGGAGUGAUCCGGAGCAAAUCUCAAAAAUAACGUCUCAGUUCGGAUUGUAGUCUGCAACUCGACUACAUGAAGCUGGAAUCGCUAGUAAUCGCAGAUCAGAAUGCUGCGGUGAAUACGUUCCCG